ACAAGCUUCUCCCCUUCUUAGAAAUACAGUGUACUCACCUUCUUCUCCAAAAAUCUAUCAGCAAAUCAAGAAGCUUUUAGUGGAAAAAAAUAUAGUGAUCAUCUGGCUCAGACCGUUGCUGCAAUUUUCAGGUCCUCCCAGGGCCAUGUGUUUGCAGUUUCCCAUGGGAAAGGAAGGCCAAAAGAAAAGAUCAAAUUAUCAUCCAGUAUAAACAAUUGAUGGCCUAUGAAAUUUUUUGCUGAUGACUUCAUGUUCCUUGGAGACUUUACUCCUUACUGUGAGGUAUUUCAAGAAGUUGAAAAAGGAAGUCGAGAAAGACCAAGAGCUGGAAUGAAGGAUCAAAUGAAGAUCCAUGAGCGCAUAGCAAUUUUCUACUUAAAGGCCACCCUGGUACGACUUGCAUAACAGAGAAAUGGAGAAAUAGACACAACAGAAAUAGAGAAUUCAGCCAUUUUCACAGGAAACAACCUAUGAUAAUAUGUUUGGAUCAACCCGCAGCAAAUCUCCUCAUAUACCCUCCUUUUCUCCUGAGAGAUGUCUCAUCAAUAAAUUGUUAUAGUUUGAUUUGGAGAUGCUUGCUUCCCCAAAAUAGUGUCUGGGAGGGAGCAAAGGUUUACUAUACUCAAAUGUACAUGUUAUAAAAUUCUUUCUUUUGUUUUGAAUUAUGUUAAAAUUUCUAUUUAGAUAUGGAAUUAUGCAUCAUUGAUGCAUUAGUAAACCCUAGGUAUUCUCUU
Molecule: long non-coding RNA, 734 nt
Organism: Lycium barbarum (goji berry)
Lineage: Eukaryota; Viridiplantae; Streptophyta; Magnoliopsida; Solanales; Solanaceae
Exons: 4
Source: RefSeq, a predicted model, not a curated record